This 713-nucleotide ribosomal RNA is filed under the name uncultured bacterium. RNAcentral's name for it is "bacterial SSU rRNA". It matches the Rfam family "Bacterial small subunit ribosomal RNA", at positions 108 to 812 of the family's 1533-position model. The record is from RNAcentral.
GAGUAACGCUUCGGAAACCUGCCCAAUGGUGGGGAAACAACCAGCCGAAAGGUUGGCUAAUACCGCAUGAGCCCUUCGGGGGAAAGCGGGGGAUCGCAAGACCUCGCGCCGAUGGAUGAGCCGAAGCCGGAUUAGCUAGUUGGUAGGGUAACGGCCUACCAAGGCGACGAUCCGUAGCUGGUCUGAGAGGACGACCAGCCACACUGGGGAUGAGACACGGCCCAGGAUCCUACGGGAGGCAGCAGUGGGGAAACAUUGGACAAUGGGGGAAACCCUGAUCCAGCGACGCCGCGUGUGUGAAGAAGGCCUGCGGGUUGUAAAGCACUUUUAGUGGGGAUGAAAAGCUCAGGGCUAACACCUCUGGGUCUUGACCUAACCCACAGAAAAAGCACCGGCUAACUCUGUGCCAGCAGCCGCGGUAAUACAGAGGGUGCAAGCGUUAAUCGGAAACUACUGGGCGUAAAGCGUACGUAGACGGUUGGAUAAGUCGGAUGUGAAAGCCCCGGGCUCAACCUGGGAAACGGCAUUCGAGGAUGUUCAGCUAGGGUGCGGAAGAGGGAAGCGGAAUUUCCGGUGUAGCGGUGAAAUGCGUAGAUAUCGGAAGGAACACCAGUGGCGAAAGCGGCUUCCUGGUCCAGCACCGACGUUCAGGUACGAAAGCAUGGGGAGCAAACAGGAUUAGAUACCCUGGUAGUCCAUGCCAUAAACGAUGA